GAUGAACGCUAGCUAUAGGCUUAACACAUGCAAGUCGAGGGGAAACGGCAUUAUGUGCUUGCACAUUUUGGACGUCGACCGGCGCACGGGUGAGUAUCGCGUAUCCAACCUGCCCUUUACUUGGGGAUACCCCGUUGAAAGACGGCCUAAUACCCGAUGUAAUUCAUUGAUGGCAUCAGAUAUGAAUAAAAGAUUUAUCGGUAAAGGAUGGGGAUGCGUCUGAUUAGCUUGUUGGUGAGGUAACGGCUCACCAAGGCGACGAUCAGUAGGGGUUCUGAGAGGAAGGUACCCCACAUUGGAACUGAGACACGGUCCAAACUACUACGGGAGGCAGCAGUGAGGAAUAGUGGUCAAUGGGCGCAAGCCUGAACCAGCCAAGUAGCGUGCAGGAAGACGGCCCUAUGGGUUGUAAACUGCUUUUAUACGAGAAUAAUUUGAUGCACGUGUGCGUUAUUGCAUGUAUCGUAUGAAUAAGGACCGGCUAAUUCCGUG
Molecule: ribosomal RNA, 492 nt
Filed under: uncultured bacterium
Lineage: Bacteria
Description: partial 16S ribosomal RNA
Rfam family: Bacterial small subunit ribosomal RNA
Source: RNAcentral